Oreochromis niloticus (Nile tilapia) is the source of this 1462-nucleotide long non-coding RNA. RefSeq lists it as uncharacterized. NCBI's taxonomy places the organism in Eukaryota, Metazoa, Chordata, Actinopteri, Cichliformes, Cichlidae. The transcript has 2 exons. The record is from RefSeq and is a predicted model, not a curated record.
UGUGAGCGUUCUGUGAUCGCCCUUGUAUACAAGUAAAUGCUGCAGCGUCUGUGUGUUUCUACCCUUAGACUCUUAGCUGAAGAAGUGUCUUUAGAAUAAAUCUCUUGACAUUUAUUUUGGUCCUUCGAGAGCCGGAUCAGAAAUAUCAGAACUGUUAUCUGUGACUCUGUUCCAGGAUCUGGCAUACUGUUUCCUGACGCCGUGGAGCCAGCACCGAAGACUGUGCACAGCCCUCUUAGACGAGGAGGACCCGGGGACGUUUGAGUCCGAGCUGGUCUGGUCCACGGCGAUGGGAUUCAGUCUGACGAUCCGAACCACCAGUGAGACGUCUGAGGGUGAGAAACACUAUUUUUGAUAUAUAAAACGGCCGCAAAGGUUUAAAGAAACGUGAUAAAUUAGGUUUAAGUUCGCCAAAAAGAACUAAGUUUAGACUGGUUUUAGAGGUAACCGUUAAAUACUUCGUGACAAAUUAGCGCGCAAAUGUCUAUGUGUGUGUAUGUGUCUAGAAGUAAGUUGAUUUACAGCACAAUAAGCUGCUGAACUACUUCUAUUUUAUUUGUUUUCUUUGCUGAGGCUCACGUACUGGUGACAAAGGAGAACGGUUGGGUUUCAUCUCAUAAAACUGGUACCGCUUCACCUAUAGGGUGAAGUCGAAGGCCGUAUCAGUAAACCACUCCGAAGUCAGGCGUGCCAGUGACGGCCCAGCAAAAUCUUUGAAAAUGGGGAAUAAACAAGCAAAAUUAACACCUGAUGAGGAAUGGUUAGAAAAACAACAAACCGGAGCAGGUAGAAUAAGUGCAAAUAGGUGGAGAAAUCCACGAAAAGCUAAAAACCGCAGCUGGGAAGGGAAAUGCAAUCCCUCAGCUGUUACCCAGCUGAAAGCUGUCCUGAAACAAGAAAUUACAUUAACAAAAGACCCAAAGAAGAAAUUAAAACGUGAAGAAGAAUAUAAACUUUUCCAAGCAUGGGAAACUGAAGCUGAAAGGAGAACUGAAAAUAAGAAAAGGAAAAUAAAAAACUAUUUCAACGCACUUUCAUUAAAGGAUUACUACCACCCAUUAGGUCUCAUGUAGAAAAGCAUUGGGUAACGCAAGAUACGGGCACAGCAGAUGAGGCGUUUCAAUAUGCUAACCAUGCACAGACAGUGGUGAAACGGAAAGAGAAGGUCUCAGUUUUUGGCCUCGAUGCUGACACUGUUCUCACAGCUUUUAGUGGAGGCUACAGGGGAGGCUUCAGAGGCCAAAAGAGAGGGAGAGGAAUGCGUAGGGGAAGAGCAAGAGGUAGAGACAGACCUAGAUACACACCAAACAGUAAUUAUAGCGCUACAUGCUGGAAGUGUGGAAAAAAGGGACAUUUUGCACGUGACUGUAAGACACAGAGAACGCCCGACACAGAAUGAUUAGCUGCAACCACUGUGGCUGUCAGACGGAUGAAAGAGAGAGACAGAAAAAACAAAAUAAAA